RNAcentral lists this long non-coding RNA (213 nucleotides) under Capsicum annuum. RNAcentral's name for it is "long non-coding RNA (CANN_LNC006492)". Lineage: Eukaryota; Viridiplantae; Streptophyta; Magnoliopsida; Solanales; Solanaceae. The record is from RNAcentral.
CUACAAAAACUCAUGGACUGUGGGAUGAUUAAUUAUAUUUGUAUCAUCGCCUCUACCUCCUCUAAUACCACACACACCACCUCCUCUACUACCUCUACGACCCCAUCUCCUACCGCCACUCCUACCUUGACUUCUUUGUCCCUCCUCAUAUACAUCAUAGUAUCUGAAUCCCCAUCUCCUAUCAUCUUCACAAAGGAGUAUUGACGCGAAGAU